CAUGCGGCGCUUCGAGCGCCUACUCUGUUCUACAGGAGAAUAUGACCUCACUUACUAGUUCUGAAUAGUGCAGUCAAGUUGUCGGUUGCUGCAUGUGUACUGCAGUACAUACCGCAUGUGGCAGAUCACGUCACCCAUUGCUUUGCAUCAAGUUCAGCGUGCGCACUUCAUUACAAGCUCACCAGGUGUAUUGGAAGCUUCACCAUAAUGGCAAGUUGCAGUGACACUGGUUCAGAGUCUCCAGACCGACAGAAGAGCAGUCCAAAACCGAAGAAAAGAAAAUACCAGCAAAAGUACAAGCCAGCUUGGGAGCAUGAGAAAGCGUUUCAAAGUUGGCUGCAACAAAGCAAGAAGGGCAACCGUUAUGCGCACUGCAAAACAUGCGACAUGAACCUAAUUGCCGGCAAGAAACUGUUGGAACGGCACAUGAAAUCUGCGAAACAUGAAGAAAUUGCCAGAAAGCUUAUGUCCCAGCCAACGCUGAUGCAAGCAAUGCCUAGCAUUGCUAUCUCUUCACAGGUUAAAGAAGCUGAAGUAAGAAUGGCUAUGUUUGUCGCCGAGCACAGCCUGCCCUUUACGGUCAUGGACCAUCUGCCAAAGCUCGUGAAAAAAAUUUGCCCGGACUCGGAUAUUGCAAAGCAGAUUGCCUGCAGUAGAAGAAAAACAUCAGUGAUAACGAAGGUCGUGACAGGCGAGGAGAGCGAAUCGCGGCUGUGGAGGCUACUUCGAGAAAAGAAAUUUUCAGUCAUGGUUGACGAGUCAACGGACGUCAGCUGCCACAAGCACUUGUGUGUUGUUACAAGGGUUUUCGAAAAAGAUAAAGUGACUGAUGCUUUCUUUGAUCUCAUCCCUGUGACGGAUGUGAGUGCCACUGGCCUUUAUAGUGCCCUUACUGGUACUUUUCAGAGAGCGGGUGUUCCUUAUAAAGACAAUCUAGUUGGCUUUGCUGCAGACGGCGCAAGUGUCAUGAUGGGUAGUAAACAUUCUGUGAUGGUACUGCUGAAGAAGGAGAUUCCCGGCUUGUUCAUUCUUAAG
Molecule: non-coding RNA, 1035 nt
Organism: Dermacentor albipictus
Lineage: Eukaryota; Metazoa; Arthropoda; Arachnida; Ixodida; Ixodidae
Source: RefSeq, a predicted model, not a curated record